UGACGUCAAGUCAGCAUGGCCUUUAUAUCCUGGGCUACACACACGCUACAAUGGGAAGGGACAAUAGGUUGCGAAGCCGCGAGGCGGAGCCAAUACCAGCAAAACUUCCCUCAGUUCAGAUUGCAGGCUGCAACUCGCCUGCAUGAAGUUGGAGUUGCUAGUAAACGCAGGUCAGCCAUACUGCGUUGAAUACGUUCCCGGGGCUU
This 206-nucleotide ribosomal RNA is filed under the name uncultured Levilinea sp. RNAcentral describes it as "partial 16S ribosomal RNA". It matches the Rfam family "Bacterial small subunit ribosomal RNA", at positions 1180 to 1382 of the family's 1533-position model. Lineage: Bacteria; Bacillati; Chloroflexota; Anaerolineae; Anaerolineales; Anaerolineaceae. The record is from RNAcentral.